Molecule: long non-coding RNA, 226 nt
Organism: Lemur catta (Ring-tailed lemur)
Lineage: Eukaryota; Metazoa; Chordata; Mammalia; Primates; Lemuridae
Exons: 3
Source: RefSeq, a predicted model, not a curated record
CAGAGAACUGAGGUUGCAAAGGGAUCCUCCACCUGGAAAUCCAAGGGCACAGAGCUCUCAGGUGCAGAGGAAAUUGUGGUCUCUCCCAAUGGAAGUUCUAACAACCGCAUGGCUGCAGAGGGGCCCAAAGUCCACUUCGUACCAGUGAUAGCCAGACAAUAGAUUUUCUACAAGAAAACAUUACUACUUUUCAACCAUGAAAUCAGAAACUUUUUCAUAAGGAGAA